This 488-nucleotide ribosomal RNA is filed under the name uncultured bacterium. RNAcentral's name for it is "partial 16S ribosomal RNA". It matches the Rfam family "Bacterial small subunit ribosomal RNA", at positions 30 to 507 of the family's 1533-position model. The record is from RNAcentral.
AUUGAACGCUGGCGGCAUGCUUUACACAUGCAAGUCGAACGGCAGCACAGGGAGCUUGCUCCUGGGUGGCGAGUGGCGAACGGGUGAGUAAUGUAUCGGAACGUGCCUGGUAGUGGGGGAUAACUACUCGAAAGAGUGGCUAAUACCGCAUGAGAUCUUUGGAUGAAAGCGGGGGACCUUCGGGCCUCGUGCUACUGGAGCGGCCGAUAUCAGAUUAGGUUGUUGGUGGGGUAAAGGCCUACCAAGCCUGCGAUCUGUAGCUGGUCUGAGAGGACGACCAGCCACACUGGGACUGAGACACGGCCCAGACUCCUACGGGAGGCAGCAGUGGGGAAUUUUGGACAAUGGGCGCAAGCCUGACCCAGCAAUGCCGCGUGCAGGACGAAGGCCUUCGGGUUGUAAACUGCUUUUGUACAGAACGAAAAGUCUCUGGCUAAUAUCUAGAGAUCAUGACGGUACUGUAAGAAUAAGCACCGGCUAACUACGUG